AGGAACCCUUGACGAUUACAAUCAAAUCACAAAAUCAAGCAUAUGAGGAGAAGUUCAGAAGUCUUAUACCACCAUGAAGACCAUGAACUGGUGAUUUUAAGAUUUUCAUGAGGCUUCAAAGCAGAAGCCCUCCAAUGGUGAUCUACACAAGACUGAUCAGGGCUCUUCCCAACUCGUCAUAGUGCUACUGCCUUCUUCGCAAGUGCGUUGCCAUCCAUCCUUCACAAAAGUGGGUUGCACCAUUGCUUAUUUUCCUUCAUGACCUCCACUAGGACCACUCUAGGAACCCUUUUCCAAAGUAUCAAAUCAUACUCUAAUCAGAUUUUAUGUUCAACAUAUGAACAAUCUGAUUUUUGGACAAGUAUCUCAUACUUUCCAUUUCUCUUCUUCUCUUCUUUUUUAUUUUUCCUUCCCUUAUCCUUGUCUUUGUCUAGACAUUUUUCUCUCAAUUUUCUCUCAUCCUCAUGCCAAUUCCCAG
Molecule: long non-coding RNA, 478 nt
Filed under: Elaeis guineensis (African oil palm)
Lineage: Eukaryota; Viridiplantae; Streptophyta; Magnoliopsida; Arecales; Arecaceae
Description: long non-coding RNA (EGUI_LNC049911)
Source: RNAcentral